GACGAACGCUGGCGGCGUGCCUAAUACAUGCAAGUAGAACGCACAGUUUAUACCGUAGCUUGCUACACCAUAGACUGUGAGUUGCGAACGGGUGAGUAACGCGUAGGUAACCUGCCUGGUAGCGGGGGAUAACUAUUGGAAACGAUAGCUAAUACCGCAUAAUAUUAAUUAUUGCAUGAUAAUUAAUUGAAAGGUGCAAUUGCACCACUACCAGAUGGACCUGCGUUGUAUUAGCUAGUAGGUGAGGUGACGGCUCACCUAGGCGACGAUACAUAGCCGACCUGAGAGGGUGAUCGGCCACACUGGGACUGAGACACGGCCCAGACUCCUACGGGAGGCAGCAGUAGGGAAUCUUCGGCAAUGGACGAAAGUCUGACCGAGCAACGCCGCGUGAGUGAAGAAGGUUUUCGGAUCGUAAAGCUCUGUUGUAAGAGAAGAACGGGUGUGAGAGUGGAAAGUUCACACUGUGACGGUAUCUUACCAGAAAGGGACGGCUAACUACGUG
RNAcentral lists this ribosomal RNA (505 nucleotides) under uncultured bacterium. RNAcentral's name for it is "partial 16S ribosomal RNA". It matches the Rfam family "Bacterial small subunit ribosomal RNA", at positions 28 to 507 of the family's 1533-position model. The record is from RNAcentral.